Molecule: ribosomal RNA, 490 nt
Filed under: uncultured bacterium
Lineage: Bacteria
Description: partial 16S ribosomal RNA
Rfam family: Bacterial small subunit ribosomal RNA
Source: RNAcentral
AUUGAACGCUGGCGGCAGGCCUAACACAUGCAAGUCGAACGGUAACAGGAAGCAGCUUGCUGCUUCGCUGACGAGUGGCGGACGGGUGAGUAAUGUCUGGGAAACUGCCUGAUGGAGGGGGAUAACUACUGGAAACGGUAGCUAAUACCGCAUAACGUCGCAAGACCAAAGAGGGGGACCUUAGGGCCUCUUGCCAUCGGAUGUGCCCAGAUGGGAUUAGCUAGUAGGUGGGGUAACGGCUCACCUAGGCGACGAUCCCUAGCUGGUCUGAGAGGAUGACCAGCCACACUGGAACUGAGACACGGUCCAGACUCCUACGGGAGGCAGCAGUGGGGAAUAUUGCACAAUGGGCGCAAGCCUGAUGCAGCCAUGCCGCGUGUAUGAAGAAGGCCUUCGGGUUGUAAAGUACUUUCAGCGGGGAGGAAGGGAGUAAAGUUAAUACCUUUGCUUAUUGACGUUACCCGCAGAAGAAGCACCGGCUAACUCCGUG